CUCGAAAUAGCUUUAGGGCUAGCCUCAUGGAUCAUUGAUGGGGGUAGAGCACUGAAUGUGCGCGGGGGCCACAAAGCCUACCAAACGCUAUCAAACUUCGAAUACCAUACAAUGCAGACCAUGGGAGUCAGUCCGCGAGAGAUAAGUUCCGCGGGCAAAAGGGGAACACCCCAGAUCAACCGCUAAGGUCCCCAAGUUCACGUUAAGUGGAGAAGGAUGUGGAAUUGCACAGACAACCAGGAUGUUGGCUCAGAAGCAGCCACACAUUUAAAGAGUGCGUAAUAGCUCACUGGUCGAGUGAUUGUGCGCCGAAGAUGUCCGGGGCUAAACGUGACACCGAAGCGAUGGGUGCAUCUGAAGAAGAUGCGCGGUAGAGGAGCAAUGUGCAGAGGCAGAAGCCGUAUCGAGAGGCACGGUGGACACUGCACAAGAGAGAAUGCCGGUAUGAGUAGCGAGAGGCAUGCGAGAAACAUGCCCGUCGAAAGCCCAAGGUUUCCUGGGGAAGGUUCAUCCGCCCAGGGUAAGUCGGGGCCUAAGCCGAGGACGGAAGUCGUAGGCGAUGGACAGCAGGUGUAGAUUCCUGCACUACCGAUGGAAUGAAGCAGUGACACAGAAGGAUAACUCGAGCAGGGUGAUGGUCAACCCUGUGCAAGCAUCAAGGUUGGGUUGUAGUGAAGUACGCAAUCCUAUAAGCUGAGGUGUGAUGCGGACCGAAAUUUCAGUAGGGAAGCGAGUGAGUUCACGCUGGCGAGAAAAGCUGCUAGUACAUCCAAAGGUACCCGUACCGGAAACCGACGCAGGUGGGCGAGGAGAGAAUCCUGAGACGAACGGGAGAACCCUUGUUAAGGAACUCGGCAAAAUGACCCCGUAACUUCGGGAUAAGGGGUGCCUGCGAGAGCAGGCCGCAGAGAAUAGUCACAAGCGACUGUUUAGCAAAAACACAGGUAUCUGCGAAAGCGAGAGCUGACGUAUAGGUGCUGACACCUGCCCGGUGCUGGAAGGUUAAGGGAACAUGUUAGAGCAAUCGAAGCAUCGAACCGAAGCCCCAGUAAACGGCGGCCGUAACUAUAACGGUCCUAAGGUAGCGAAAUUCCUUGUCGGGUAAGUUCCGACCCGCACGAAUGGUGUAACGACUUGUGAGCUGUCUCAACAGGGGGCCCGGUGAAAUUGAAGUAUGGGUGAAGAUGCCCAUUACCCGCGACUGGACGGAAAGACCCCGUAGAGCUUUACUGCAGCCUGAUAUUGAGUUUCGGUAACUGAUGCACAGGAUAGGUGGGAGUCUGAGAGACAUGGGUUUCGGCUCAUGUGGAGACGAUGUUGGGAUACCACUCUUCGGUUACUGAAAUUCUAACAUAGCUCUGUGAAACCAGAGGAUGGACAGUGUCAGGUGGA
This 1392-nucleotide ribosomal RNA is filed under the name human gut metagenome. RNAcentral's name for it is "bacterial LSU rRNA". It matches the Rfam family "Bacterial large subunit ribosomal RNA", at positions 858 to 2265 of the family's 2925-position model. The record is from RNAcentral.